AGCCUCUCACAAAUUUAGUUGGCA
This 24-nucleotide non-coding RNA is filed under the name Arabidopsis thaliana (thale cress). Lineage: Eukaryota; Viridiplantae; Streptophyta; Magnoliopsida; Brassicales; Brassicaceae. The record is from RNAcentral.